This 562-nucleotide ribosomal RNA is filed under the name Leptolyngbya sp. kmn-1. RNAcentral describes it as "bacterial SSU rRNA". It matches the Rfam family "Bacterial small subunit ribosomal RNA", at positions 159 to 753 of the family's 1533-position model. The record is from RNAcentral. Lineage: Bacteria; Bacillati; Cyanobacteriota; Cyanophyceae; Leptolyngbyales; Leptolyngbyaceae.
ACCGCUAAGACCCCAUAUGCCGGAAGGUGAAAUAGUUUUCUGCCUGAGGAUGAGCUCGCGUCCGAUUAGCUAGUUGGUGGGGUAAGAGCCUACCAAGGCGACGAUCGGUAGCUGGUCUGAGAGGAUGAUCAGCCACACUGGGACUGAGACACGGCCCAGACUCCUACGGGAGGCAGCAGUGGGGAAUUUUCCGCAAUGGGCGAAAGCCUGACGGAGCAAGACCGCGUGAGGGAAGAAGGUCUGUGGAUUGUAAACCUCUUUUGAUUGGGAAGAAGCACUGACGGUACCAAUCGAAUCAGCCUCGGCUAACUCCGUGCCAGCAGCCGCGGUAAUACGGAGGAGGCAAGCGUUAUCCGGAAUUAUUGGGCGUAAAGCGUCCGUAGGUGGUUUGUCAAGUCUUCUGUCAAAGCGCGGAGCUUAACUCCGUAAAGGCAGAGGAAACUGACAGGCUAGAGUGCGAUAGGGGCAAGGGGAAUUCCCAGUGUAGCGGUGAAAUGCGUAGAUAUUGGGAAGAACACCGGUGGCGAAAGCGCCUUGCUGGGUCUGCACUGACACUGAGGGA